CGGGAAGUAGCUCAGCUUGGUAGAGCACUUGCUUCGGGAGUAAGGGGUCGUCGGUUCAAAUCCGGUCUUCCCGA
This is a transfer RNA of Enterococcus asini ATCC 700915, 74 nucleotides long. It matches the Rfam family "tRNA". Rfam says of the family: Transfer RNA (tRNA) molecules are approximately 80 nucleotides in length. Their secondary structure includes four short double-helical elements and three loops (D, anti-codon, and T loops). The record is from Rfam. NCBI's taxonomy places the organism in Bacteria, Bacillati, Bacillota, Bacilli, Lactobacillales, Enterococcaceae.